CCUACGGGGGGCUGCAGUCGAGGAUCUUCGGCAAUGGGCGAAAGCCUGACCGAGCGACGCCGCGUGUGCGACGAAGGCCUUCGGGUUGUAAAGCACUUUGGUGGGGGAGAAAGCCGAAAGGUUGAUCGAUCCCAAGAACAAGCACGGGCUAAGUUCGUGCCAGCAGCCGCGGUAAGACGAACCGUGCGAACGUUGUUCGGAAUCACUGGGCUUAAAGGGCGCGUAGGCGGGCCGGCCAGUCCGUGGUGAAAUACUCCAGCUCAACUGGAGAACUG
This 275-nucleotide ribosomal RNA is filed under the name uncultured bacterium. RNAcentral describes it as "partial 16S ribosomal RNA". It matches the Rfam family "Bacterial small subunit ribosomal RNA", at positions 338 to 623 of the family's 1533-position model. The record is from RNAcentral.